RNAcentral lists this ribosomal RNA (161 nucleotides) under uncultured bacterium. RNAcentral's name for it is "partial 16S ribosomal RNA". It matches the Rfam family "Bacterial small subunit ribosomal RNA", at positions 1340 to 1500 of the family's 1533-position model. The record is from RNAcentral.
AAUCGCGGAUCAGAAUGCCGCGGUGAAUACGUUCCCGGGUCUUGUACACGCCGCCCGUCACACCAUGGGAGUCGGGAAUGCCCGAAGUCAGUGACCCAACCGAAAGGGGGGAGCUGCCGAAGGCAGGCCUGGUAACUGGGGUGAAGUCGUAACAAGGUAGC